This 155-nucleotide ribosomal RNA is filed under the name Bacillus sp. (in: firmicutes). Its description in RNAcentral is "Bacillus sp. (in: Bacteria) partial 16S ribosomal RNA". It matches the Rfam family "Bacterial small subunit ribosomal RNA", at positions 378 to 525 of the family's 1533-position model. The record is from RNAcentral. Lineage: Bacteria; Bacillati; Bacillota; Bacilli; Caryophanales; Bacillaceae.
GAAGUCUGACGGAGCACGCCGCGUGAGUGAUGAAGGUUUUCGGAUCGUAAAACUCUGUUGUUAGGGAAGAACAAGUACCGUUCGAAUAGGGCGGUACCUUGACGGUACCUAACCAGAAAGCCACGGCUAACUACGUGCCAGCAGCCGCGGUAAUA